This 466-nucleotide ribosomal RNA is filed under the name Ameerega hahneli. RNAcentral's name for it is "partial 12S ribosomal RNA". It matches the Rfam family "Bacterial small subunit ribosomal RNA", at positions 789 to 1500 of the family's 1533-position model. Lineage: Eukaryota; Metazoa; Chordata; Amphibia; Anura; Dendrobatidae. The record is from RNAcentral.
ACUAUGCCUAGUCGUAAACUUUAACUUACCUCUCCAUCGCCCGGGAACUACGAGCUAAGCUUAAAACCCAAAGGACUUGACGGUACCCCAUAUCCCCCUAGAGGAGCCUGUCCUAUAAUCGAUAACCCCCGCUUAACCUCACCAUUUUUUGCUAAUCAGCCUGUAUACCUCCGUCGUCAGCUUACCACGUGAGCGUUAGUGAGCCUAAUGUUUUUCCAACUAUACGUCAGGUCAAGGUGCAACAUAUAAAAUGGAAAGAGAUGGGCUACACUUUCUAUAAUAGAAUAAACGAAAGACUUAAUGAAACCUAGUCAGAAGGCGGAUUUAGAAGUAAAAUGAAACUAGAGUGUUCACUUAAAUACGGCACUGGGGUGUGUACACACCGCCCGUCACCCUCCUCAGCUCUGCAUAAAAGUUUUUAACACCUUUUUAGAGACUCAGAAGAGGCAAGUCGUAACACGGUAAG